CUAAAUAUCACAUAUUAAUUGCUAAGGUGAGAACGCCAGUUGGAUUUUGGACAUCACGUCGCCCAGGCGUGUAGUAUUAAAUCGGAUUCCUUAUUUUGAAAUUGAGGUAGCAGAUAUUUGAAGCUCGAAGAAAUUUCUACAAAUAACCCACUUCGCUUUGGGAACCAAUGCAGUGACAAAUUUACCAGCCUCUGAAUAAAUUGCCUGAACGUAUAAACUCUAAAUAAGUAACACAAACUCGGAUUCUCACAACAGUUUGAAACUAUCUGCACAUCUUCCAGCAAACUUUGUUAUUUUAUAAAAAUGUCAUCUGCACCAUAUAACGGAGAAUUAAGACAAAGGGUGGAGCGUUGUUUGGGUAUAGACAAAUGGCAUUUCGAUGUCUGUCUACUGGACAUAUUAGCAGCAGCGCACCUCGAAUAUCAAAUCACUCCAUAUGAAGAGGAUAACGAUAUACAUAAACGAGAGGCAGAAGAAAUGCUAUAUGAAGACGAAGAAGACGAAAUAAUGUUGAGAAUUUACGGACCAAAACUGUCGCGGAACAAAGAAAGCUUUUCGGAUUGUUCUGUAUAUAUACAGCGUAUAAAUGAGUUGUUACUGUCUUUCCCUUAGACACGGAUACAAUUUAUUUGUGUAAAAUAUAAAUAACAUUUCGUUUUUCAAAGCCUCGGAGAAAAACAAUGAAAAUGUAAGAGUAUGUA
Molecule: long non-coding RNA, 701 nt
Organism: Bactrocera tryoni
Lineage: Eukaryota; Metazoa; Arthropoda; Insecta; Diptera; Tephritidae
Exons: 3
Source: RefSeq, a predicted model, not a curated record